GCAAACUUGGUCAUUUAGAGGAAGUAAAAGUCGUAACAAGGUUUCCGUAGGUGAACCUGCGGAAGGAUCAUUAUUGAAUAAACUUGAUGGGUUGUAGCUGGCUUCUUGAAGCAUGUGCACGCCCACCAUCUUUAUCUAUCAUCCACCUGUGCACCUUUUGUAGUCUUGUGAAAUGGGAAUGGGGUAGACCCCUCGAUAAGGUGACUAGCCUUUCGGUUGUGAGGAAUGCUACGUGAAAGUUCGCGUGGCUGUCUUCAAAUUACCUAUACUCAUUUCUCGGGCUAUGUCUUUUUCAUACACCAUAUAGUAUGUUGCAGAAUGUAUCAAUUAGGACUCUGUGCCUAUAUAACUCAUACAACUUUCAGCAACGGAUCUCUUGGCUCUCGCAUCGAUGAAGAACGCAGC
Molecule: unclassified non-coding RNA, 405 nt
Filed under: uncultured fungus
Lineage: Eukaryota; Fungi
Description: partial contains small subunit ribosomal RNA, internal transcribed spacer 1, and 5.8S ribosomal RNA
Rfam family: Eukaryotic small subunit ribosomal RNA (bases 1-73)
Source: RNAcentral